GUGCCAGCCGCCGCGGUAAUACGGAGGGGGCUAGCGUUGUUCGGAAUUACUGGGCGUAAAGCGCACGUAGGCGGACUGGAAAGUUGGGGGUGAAAUCCCGGGGCUCAACCCCGGAACUGCCUUCAAAACUAUCAGUCUGGAGUUCGAGAGAGGUGAGUGGAAUUCCGAGUGUAGAGGUGAAAUUCGUAGAUAUUCGGAGGAACACCAGUGGCGAAGGCGGCUCACUGGCUCGAUACUGACGCUGAGGUGCGAAAGCGUGGGGAGCAAACAGGAUUAGAAACCCGUGUAGUCC
RNAcentral lists this ribosomal RNA (292 nucleotides) under uncultured bacterium. Its description in RNAcentral is "partial 16S ribosomal RNA". It matches the Rfam family "Bacterial small subunit ribosomal RNA", at positions 505 to 796 of the family's 1533-position model. The record is from RNAcentral.